RNAcentral lists this ribosomal RNA (174 nucleotides) under uncultured bacterium. Its description in RNAcentral is "partial 16S ribosomal RNA". It matches the Rfam family "Bacterial small subunit ribosomal RNA", at positions 337 to 508 of the family's 1533-position model. The record is from RNAcentral.
UCCUACGGGAGGCAGCAGUGAGGAAUAUUGGUCAAUGGGCGAGAGCCUGAACCAGCCAAGUAGCGUGCAGGACGACGGCCCUAUGGGUUGUAAACUGCUUUUAUAUGGGGAUAAAGUGAGCUACGUGUAGUUUAUUGCAGGUACCAUAUGAAUAAGGACCGGCUAAUUCCGUGC